CCAGAGAUGGAUUGGUGCCUUCGGGAACGUCUGACACAGGUGCUGCAUGGCUGUCGUCAGCUCGUGUCGUGAGAUGUUGGGUUAAGUCCCGUAACGAGCGCAACCCUUGUCCUUAGUUACCAGCACGUUAUGGUGGGCACUCUAAGGAGGACUGCCGGUGACAAACCGGAGGAAGGUGGGGGAUGACGUCAAGUCAUCAUGGCCCUUACGGCCUGGGCUACACACGUGCUACAAUGGUCGGUACAAAGGGUUGCCAAGCCGCGAGGUGGAGCUAAUCCCAUAAAACCGAUCGUAGUCCGGAUCGCAGUCUGCAACUCGACUGCGUGAAGUCGGAAUCGCUAGUAAUCGUGAAUCAGAAUGUCACGGUGAAUACGUUCCCGGGCCUU
Molecule: ribosomal RNA, 386 nt
Filed under: uncultured Pseudomonas sp.
Lineage: Bacteria; Pseudomonadati; Pseudomonadota; Gammaproteobacteria; Pseudomonadales; Pseudomonadaceae
Description: bacterial SSU rRNA
Rfam family: Bacterial small subunit ribosomal RNA
Source: RNAcentral